Vidua chalybeata is the source of this 208-nucleotide long non-coding RNA. RefSeq lists it as uncharacterized. The record is from RefSeq and is a predicted model, not a curated record. Lineage: Eukaryota; Metazoa; Chordata; Aves; Passeriformes; Viduidae. The transcript has 3 exons.
UGUGCCCAGGUGUAUUUUGGGUGUGCCCAGGUGUAUUUUGGGUGUGCCCAGGUGUGUUUUAGGCGUGCCCAGGUGUAUUUUGGGCGUGCCCAGGUGUGUUUUAGGUGUAUUUUGGCCGUGCCCAGGUGUGCCCAGGUGUAUUUUGGCUGUGCCCAGGUGUGUUCUGGUUGUGCCCAGGUGUAUUUUGGCUGUGCCCAGGUGCGCUCCC